GAAUACGUUCCCGGGCCUUGUACACACCGCCCGUCACACCACGAGAGUUUGCAACACCCGAAGUCGGUGAGGUAACCGCAAGGAGCCAGCCGCCGAAGGUGGGGUAGAUGAUUGGGGUGAAGUCGUAACAAGGUAUCCGUACCGGAAGGUGCGGAUGGAUCACCUCCUUU
RNAcentral lists this ribosomal RNA (170 nucleotides) under Anoxybacillus flavithermus. RNAcentral describes it as "partial 16S ribosomal RNA". It matches the Rfam family "Bacterial small subunit ribosomal RNA", at positions 1364 to 1533 of the family's 1533-position model. Lineage: Bacteria; Bacillati; Bacillota; Bacilli; Caryophanales; Anoxybacillaceae. The record is from RNAcentral. RNAcentral also lists the same sequence under 1 other name.